RNAcentral lists this ribosomal RNA (450 nucleotides) under uncultured bacterium. RNAcentral describes it as "bacterial SSU rRNA". It matches the Rfam family "Bacterial small subunit ribosomal RNA", at positions 354 to 796 of the family's 1533-position model. The record is from RNAcentral.
GUGGGGAAUAUUGGACAAUGGGCGAAAGCCUGAUCCAGCCAUGCCGCGUGUGUGAAGAAGGUCUUCGGAUUGUAAAGCACUUUAAGUUGGGAGGAAGGGCAGUAAGUUAAUACCUUGCUGUUUUGACGUUACCAACAGAAUAAGCACCGGCUAACUUCGUGCCAGCAGCCGCGGUAAUACGAAGGGUGCAAGCGUUAAUCGGAAUUACUGGGCGUAAAGCGCGCGUAGGUGGUUCAGCAAGUUGAAGGUGAAAUCCCCGGGCUCAACCUGGGAACUGCCUCCAAAACUACUGAGCUAGAGUACGGUAGAGGGUAGUGGAAUUUCCUGUGUAGCGGUGAAAUGCGUAGAUAUAGGAAGGAACACCAGUGGCGAAGGCGACCACCUGGACUGAUACUGACACUGAGGUGCGAAAGCGUGGGGAGCAAACAGGAUUAGAAACCCUUGUAGUCC